ACUUCCUGAGCCGGAACGAAAAGUUUUUGAGGAUUGGGUAUUAACGUACUGAAUCUUUGGCACUUUUGGCUUGUGGGCGUGAUGUUGUGUUUGCAAUUGACCUGACGAUUUUCGGGUCCGGUGGCGUAAGCGACCUUUUAUUCCUGUAGAUUUACCCUGUCUGUCCAUAGUAAAUUCUUAGUAGCACCGCUUUUUGCGGUGCUUUUUUUU
RNAcentral lists this non-coding RNA (210 nucleotides) under Erwinia sp. Leaf53. RNAcentral describes it as "GcvB RNA". It matches the Rfam family "GcvB RNA". From Rfam's summary of the family: The gcvB gene encodes a small untranslated RNA involved in expression of the dipeptide and oligopeptide transport systems in Escherichia coli. The record is from Rfam by way of RNAcentral. Lineage: Bacteria; Pseudomonadati; Pseudomonadota; Gammaproteobacteria; Enterobacterales; Erwiniaceae.